CAAGUCGAACGCGAAAGUUCCCUUCGGGGAGCGAGUANAGUGGCGCACGGGUGAGUAACACGUAGGUAAUCUACCUUUGGAUUGGGAAUAACAACCGGAAACGGUUGCUAAUACCGAAUAAUGCAGCGGCACCUAAUGGUGACAGUUGUUAAAGCGGGGGAUCGCAAGACCUCGCGUCUAAAGAGGAGCCUGCGGCGGAUUAGCUAGUUGGUAGGGUAACGGCUUACCAAGGCGAUGAUCCGUAGCCGGCCUGAGAGGGCGGUCGGCCACACUGACACUGACAUACGGGUCAGACUCCUACGGGAGGCAGCAGUCGGGAAUUUUGGGCAAUGGGCGAAAGCCUGACCCAGCAACGCCGCGUGAAGGAUGAAAUCCUUCGGGAUGUAAACUUCGCAAGAACGGGAAGAAUAAGUGAGAGUUAACAUCUCUUACGAUGACGGUACUGUUUGUAAGCUCCGGCUAACUCCGUGCCAGCAGCCGCGGUAAUACGGGGGGAGCAAGCGUUGUUCGGAUUUACUGGGCGUAAAGGGCGCGUAGGCGGCCACCGCAAGUCGAUUGUGAAAUCUCCGGGCUUAACCCGGAAAGGUCAACCGAUACUGCGGGGCUAGAGUGCAGAAGGGGCAACUGGAAUUCUCGGUGUAGCGGUGAAAUGCGUAGAUAUCGAGAGGAACACCUGCGGCGAAGGCGGGUUGCUGGGCUGACACUGACGCUGAACCGCGAAAGCUAGGGGAGCGAACGGGAUUAGAUACCCC
RNAcentral lists this ribosomal RNA (752 nucleotides) under uncultured bacterium. RNAcentral describes it as "bacterial SSU rRNA". It matches the Rfam family "Bacterial small subunit ribosomal RNA", at positions 58 to 788 of the family's 1533-position model. The record is from RNAcentral.